GAAAAGCACCAGGGGUGUCUGAAUCUGCUCUAGCCUAGCUGUUUUGCUGGGAUGGGGUGGAUCAGGCUGAGAAAGUCCCUUUGAACCUGAACAGGGUAAUACCUGCGUAGGGAGUGUGCGAUUUCUUUUCG
This is a non-coding RNA of Eucalyptus grandis, 131 nucleotides long. The record is from Rfam. NCBI's taxonomy places the organism in Eukaryota, Viridiplantae, Streptophyta, Magnoliopsida, Myrtales, Myrtaceae.